This 450-nucleotide ribosomal RNA is filed under the name uncultured bacterium. Its description in RNAcentral is "partial 16S ribosomal RNA". It matches the Rfam family "Bacterial small subunit ribosomal RNA", at positions 354 to 796 of the family's 1533-position model. The record is from RNAcentral.
GUGGGGAAUUUUGGACAAUGGGCGCAAGCCUGAUCCAGCCAUGCCGCGUGCAGGAUGAAGGCCUUCGGGUUGUAAACUGCUUUUGUACGGAACGAAAAGGUGCCUUCUAAUAAAGGGCGCUCAUGACGGUACCGUAAGAAUAAGCACCGGCUAACUACGUGCCAGCAGCCGCGGUAAUACGUAGGGUGCGAGCGUUAAUCGGAAUUACUGGGCGUAAAGCGUGCGCAGGCGGUUUUGUAAGACAGGCGUGAAAUCCCCGGGCUCAACCUGGGAAUGGCGCUUGUGACUGCAAAGCUGGAGUGCGGCAGAGGGGGAUGGAAUUCCGCGUGUAGCAGUGAAAUGCGUAGAUAUGCGGAGGAACACCGAUGGCGAAGGCAAUCCCCUGGGCCUGCACUGACGCUCAUGCACGAAAGCGUGGGGAGCAAACAGGAUUAGAAACCCGUGUAGUCC